GAUGAACGCUGGCGGCGUGCCUAAUACAUGCAAGUCGAGCGAACAGACGAGGAGCUUGCUCUUCUGACGUUAGCGGCGGACGGGUGAGUAACACGUGGAUAACCUACCUAUAAGACUGGGAUAACUUCGGGAAACCGGAGUUAAUACCGGAUAAUAUAUUGAACCGCAUGGUUUUAUAGUGAAAGACGGUUUUGCUGUCACUUAUAGAUGGAUCCGCGCCGUAUUAGCUAGUUGGUAAGGUAACGGCUUACCAAGGCAACGAUGCGUAGCCGACCUGAGAGGGUGAUCGGCCACACUGGAACUGAGACACGGUCCAGACUCCUACGGAAGGCAGCAGUAGGGAAUCUUCCGCGAUGGGCGAAAGCCUGACGGAGCAACGCCGCGUGAGUGAUGAAGGUCUUCGGAUCGUAAAACUCUGUUAGUAGGGAAGAACGAAUGUGUAAGUAACUAUGCACGUCUUGACGGUACCGAAUCAGAAAGCCACGGCUAACUACGUG
Molecule: ribosomal RNA, 497 nt
Filed under: uncultured bacterium
Lineage: Bacteria
Description: partial 16S ribosomal RNA
Rfam family: Bacterial small subunit ribosomal RNA
Source: RNAcentral